CCCGAAAUCCUUCUAAGAAAUCUAGCUAAGAAAUGCCGCAUAGAUUAUUGUGAGUAACUCCACACUAUUGAUUAUUUACAAAGAUAAUUGUGGUGUCCUUAAUUGUAUGCACCCUGUUUCACUUAUUUCAUGAGCAGGCAUGUAUGAAAAAGUUGGACCGUACCGUGUAAGGAGCCUUCGUGUCAUCUUCAUUGGUGUGCUUAAUCGGUCCACUUGUUGCAGCAGACUCCACACCAGCAUCAUCGGCCAAGCCUUGUUGCUCGUCACCUUUUGCUUGCCCAGCG
Molecule: long non-coding RNA, 284 nt
Filed under: Hordeum vulgare
Lineage: Eukaryota; Viridiplantae; Streptophyta; Magnoliopsida; Poales; Poaceae
Description: long non-coding RNA (HVUL_LNC019454)
Source: RNAcentral